Triticum aestivum (bread wheat) is the source of this 211-nucleotide long non-coding RNA. RefSeq lists it as uncharacterized. The record is from RefSeq and is a predicted model, not a curated record. NCBI's taxonomy places the organism in Eukaryota, Viridiplantae, Streptophyta, Magnoliopsida, Poales, Poaceae. The transcript has 3 exons.
GGAGGAUCAGGGAUUCUUCUUAGCCAGCAUGUAUAUGAUUUAUGCAGCAGAGAGGAGGCUGCAAGGGGAGAGGAACGGUGCAUUGAGGUUGAGGUACACAGGACACAUCGGGACCCGGGAGCUCGAGAAGAGGCUCGAUCGAUCUUGACAAGAACUGACUAUAUAUAGUGCAGAGAAGAUGAACCAUGCAAAAACUCAGGCUGGACCACCG